RNAcentral lists this transfer RNA (81 nucleotides) under Gymnopilus junonius. It matches the Rfam family "tRNA". From Rfam's summary of the family: Transfer RNA (tRNA) molecules are approximately 80 nucleotides in length. Lineage: Eukaryota; Fungi; Basidiomycota; Agaricomycetes; Agaricales; Galerinaceae. The record is from Rfam by way of RNAcentral.
GUCUCGAUAGCUAAGUGGUAUAGCAUGCGAUUGCAGCACAUCGUUAUCGCAGGGUCCGGUGUUCGAACCACCGUCGGGACU